RNAcentral lists this ribosomal RNA (504 nucleotides) under uncultured bacterium. Its description in RNAcentral is "bacterial SSU rRNA". It matches the Rfam family "Bacterial small subunit ribosomal RNA", at positions 8 to 507 of the family's 1533-position model. The record is from RNAcentral.
AGAGUUUGAUCCUGGCUCAGAUUGAACGCUGGCGGCAUGCCUUACACAUGCAAGUCGAACGGCAGCGCGUCCUUCGGGAUGGCGGCGAGUGGCGAACGGGUGAGUAAUACAUCGGAACGUGCCCGAGAGUGGGGGAUAACGCAGCGAAAGCUGUGCUAAUACCGCAUACGAUCUCAGGAUGAAAGCAGGGGACCGCAAGGCCUUGCGCUCACGGAGCGGCCGAUGGCAGAUUAGGUAGUUGGUGGGAUAAAAGCUUACCAAGCCGACGAUCUGUAGCUGGUCUGAGAGGACGACCAGCCACACUGGGACUGAGACACGGCCCAGACUCCUACGGGAGGCAGCAGUGGGGAAUUUUGGACAAUGGGGGGAACCCUGAUCCAGCCAUGCCGCGUGCAGGAUGAAGGCCUUCGGGUUGUAAACUGCUUUUGUACGGAACGAAAAGGUCUUUUCUAAUAAAGAAGGCUGAUGACGGUACCGUAAGAAUAAGCACCGGCUAACUACGUG